Molecule: long non-coding RNA, 1291 nt
Filed under: Homo sapiens (human)
Lineage: Eukaryota; Metazoa; Chordata; Mammalia; Primates; Hominidae
Description: HSALNT0199431
Source: RNAcentral
AAGGAGAGCAACCAAUUGGAAAAAGAAUGGGAAACAUGUAGAUUCUCCUGCUUACCUUACUUUCCAGUCUCAAAGCUGGAAGCCAGCAUUCACUGUUCAGUUAUUUUCAAUGACAACAAGAUUCAAAUCUUCAGUUGUAAAGUUGUUAAAGGAAAGGAUUAGACUGAAAAGUUAAGAAGAACGGUAGAUGAAGAGUCCAAAGAGUUGAGGCUGGUCAUUUAACCAUUGUGUGGCCACGCCCUCUCCACAGGUGGAACAAGAUGAUCAGAAUAGAAAUGGCCAAUUCUGAUGUGUUUCUACAGUGUUUCACUGAUUACAUUUUUUAACAUCUGUAGCAAACCAUUUCCAUAAUUUUUUUUUUUUUUUUUAGAGACGAGGUCUCGCUCUGUCACCCAGGCUGGUAUGCAGCGGCAUGAUCAUAGCUCACUGCAGCCUCAAAUUCCUGGGCUCAAAUGAGCCUCCUGCCUUAGCCUCCUAAGUAGCUUGGACUACAGGUGUGUAGCACCACUCUCAGCUAAUUUAUUUCAUUUUAUUUUUUGUAGAGAUAAUGCCUCGCUAUAUUGGCCAGGAUGGUCUCAAACGUUCAUAGAAACUGGUUUUAGGUUCCUAGAGGCUGGCAGCAAUUCUCAGAGGUAACGCAAGCAGUCUUCCUGCCUUGGCCUCCCAGUGUGCUGGGAUUACAAGGUGUGAGCCACCACACCUCAUCAAUUUUUGUUUUAAUAUACUCUAAGGCUUAUCAUAGUUCCGAGAUCUUUUUUUUUUUCCUGAGAAAUCUAGAAAGAUGGAAGACAGUAUGGGUCUUUUGUGGAUUUUUUGUCCUAAGAAAUUUUCAUAAAUGUCUGCCAAGGAAAAGGAAAGAGAUCAAAGUGGUAAUUAAAUCUUUAGGAUGGACAUUUUUAGAAAAAUGCUUUAUAAACUUCCCCUCUCCCAACUCUGAGUGACUUAUUGUGUCAUACUGUAUUAACACAUAUUCAUGCUGUAAAUAUAGUAAGAAAAGACAAUAGUUCACAAUUUUGGUUUAGUUUUUGCCAUUAUUGAUUAUGAGCAGUAAUUCUUCCUUUUCUUUUUGAAGGUGAUAUGGAAAGCCCUGUGUUUGCAUUUCCCCUGCUCUUAAAACUAGAAACCCACAUUGAAAAGCUCUUCCUAUAUUCUUUUUCUUGGGACUUUGAAUGUUCGCAGUGUGGACACCAAUAUCAAAACAGGCAUAUGAAGAGUCUGGUCACCUUUACAAAUGUCAUCCCUGAGUGGCACCCACUUAAUGCUGCCCAUUUUGGUCCAUGUAACAAUUGCA